RNAcentral lists this transfer RNA (72 nucleotides) under Ictidomys tridecemlineatus (thirteen-lined ground squirrel). RNAcentral's name for it is "Spermophilus tridecemlineatus (thirteen-lined ground squirrel) tRNA". It matches the Rfam family "tRNA". From Rfam's summary of the family: Transfer RNA (tRNA) molecules are approximately 80 nucleotides in length. Their secondary structure includes four short double-helical elements and three loops (D, anti-codon, and T loops). The record is from Rfam by way of RNAcentral. Lineage: Eukaryota; Metazoa; Chordata; Mammalia; Rodentia; Sciuridae.
GGGGUUGUGGCUCAGUGGUAGAGCGCUUGCCUUAUACGUGAGAGACCCUGGCUUCGAUCCUCAGCAGCACAU